AAGAAACUCUUUCUCAAGAAGCUGAGCCAGGCAGGGCAGCACUGGGUUCUUCCCUCAUCUAGCAGGGCUGGCUGGCACCCUUCCUCAGCCAGAGCUGAGCAACCAGGUUUAGGCAGGGACAGAUUUGCCAAGACACCUUUGGCUAAAGCACAACUUUAGACACACUUUCUCUGAAACCAGCUUUCCUUAGUUCAUUUAUGCCAACAAUAAGCUACAUAACCUCCAGCUUAUGCCUCUUUUCAAUAUAGCCAUUUAUGUGUGUUUUAUCACAGGACCAUCAUGAACUCACCCAUGGGAUGUUAAUGGGGGAGAAGGGGAGCAGAUGCGGGUUUCUUAUGUGGCCACCUUUUGUGCUGCACUCACCAGUGUCAAAGAGGCUCCCUUCAGUCAAUCCAUACCCUGUUUAGAAGAGGCCUAGUUGGGACCCAAAGGACCACAUGCAGCAGUGGGUGGGGACAUAGGAGCCAGAGUUAGCAGCCAGUGUGACCUAUGCCCAAUGCUCAUCUGCUCUCUUUCUCGAGGAGGAGGAAGAGGAGGAGAAGAGAUCUUCUCUAUCCAGCAAAGAGAAUGAAGCCCUUUGAAUCAAGAAUCCUUGACCAAUCUGUUUGGAUAGAGAAAGCACACUCCUGCGGAUCAGGCUCUUUCCUUCCCAGGCAAUCAGGAAAACUGGUGACAUGUACUCCAGGGAAGGCUUGUGGGUUGCAUGACUUCGAAGAACCAAGUCAACUGAGAUUGGCCAACACUACUGCUGUUGCUGCCAGACAAAAGAGGCCGUUCUUGGAGGAACUGACAAUGGAACCAACCCUUCACAAGCAAAGAAAACAAACAGAGGGACAAGUACAUGGGUAAAAAUAAUAAUCAGGUGAAAAAAGAUGUAGAAGUUAAGAAAACAGCCUCUAGUUCAUAAAGAGACUGAGUAAGAGACUAAGAAAGCCUUUAGAAACCUAGAAGAUAAACUGGAUUAUAAAAACAAAAAUCCAGUUCCUGAGAUUUCUGUCACCUUCUCCUAUCCUUGUUCAAUAAAUCAUGAUAAAGAAUCUGUGGAAAAAUCUUGCUUUUUGUGGAGGUAGGGCAGUCAAAAACUAGAUAGAGCAGUACAAUGGACUGCAAAAGAAGCAAAUACAAUUUAAGGCUGCAUCAACAGAAGUAUAAUUUGCAAGUCAUGGGAAUUAUUUGAUUCUGCAUUGGUCAGACCCCACCUCGAGUACUAUAUCCAAUUCUGGGCUCACACUUCAGGCUGGGUGGCUUUAGUUCUUGGUUGUUCACUUGCAGAUGUUUUAUUACCCAACUAGGUAACA
Molecule: long non-coding RNA, 1298 nt
Organism: Python bivittatus (Burmese python)
Lineage: Eukaryota; Metazoa; Chordata; Lepidosauria; Squamata; Pythonidae
Source: RefSeq, a predicted model, not a curated record